Molecule: long non-coding RNA, 1880 nt
Filed under: Paramuricea clavata
Lineage: Eukaryota; Metazoa; Cnidaria; Anthozoa; Malacalcyonacea; Plexauridae
Source: RNAcentral
UUAGAAAAUCAAUGAGUUCCAGUUAGUCUUCUCUAGGUAAGAAAUAAAUUUAGAGUUAUACAGUAACAACAAUUAAUUAAUAAUAUAGCUUUUGUAAAUUCUGGUUAAGAGCCGUGUUGAUAACUCAAUGUCAACACUCAACAUGGAAACGUUCAAAAAUUUAUUUCUUUUAUGUUUCUUUGUGCUAUAUUAUAAAACAAAUAUAAAACUUUUUUCCAUAUUGAUAUACAGUUAUAUCAACACUUGUGGAAAUUGGGAAAACUCAAAAUUGGGUGAAAACACUCCACACAAUUUAUAGUUUUCCCAAUUGCCACUUGUGUUGACUCACUUGAUAAAACUGCAUAUCAACACGGAAAAUGUUUUGGUUUUAUAUUUGUUAAAUAUAUAAUCUGUCAUUUCUGUACCGUUUUUUCAGUAGUUUAGUAGGUUUUGUCCCAACAUGUGCACAUGCCAGUGUCCCAAGAAAUUAAUUCCCCCUCUCAACUUUGCAUAAUGUCCUAAACCGGAGACACUUUCACGAAAUAUAAGAUAAAACAUACUACAGUACAAAUAUUAAUAUCUGGUAAACUCAAGAUUUGAGCUGUUUAAAUAAGACAACGAAAUUGAAGCUCAUAUUUCGACAUAUUGGCUUGUUUAUAUGGCUCAAAUAUUAACCCAUUGAGCCACAAUGCGCCCCAGUGCACCCUACCUCUGCAGCUUAAUGGGUUAACCAAAAAAAUCUGACAAUGUCUCUGUAGUUAUAACGUCCCAUUGAGCCCCAGUGCACCCUACUUAUUUUUUUCACUUGUCUAACGCCAGACGAUUUUACUCGUCAAUGGGGACGCUCUGCAGCUUAAUGGGUUAAAAUCAUAGAAAUAAUAGAUAUUUAUAUAUUAUUUCUAUAGUUAAAAUUGAGUUUACAAGAUACAUUAUUUAGAGUGUGUUAUAUGUUACAUUUCUCAUUGGCAGGUGAAUACCCUACUGUAGGGAUAUUGCUCUUUCAGAGGUCGAAUUUCCUGGGAAAUUUGUCCUCUUUUACAGUUGCAAACAUGAACUGGAAUAAAUUGCACUUGCUAUUAAUCUGGCCACAGUGCACAAUUUUAUUCAUUUGAGAUGUACAACAGCAUUUGUUGAAUUGACAAAGACUUGUCUUUACAUUGUCUUACGAACUGUACUGUACCUGUAAAAUUAUGGUAAAAAAUAAAUUAAAAUUUUUAGUUUUCUUGCUCGUGAUCAAGUCAAAGAAAAAGAAAAAGAUGAGAAAUUUAUUGGAUCUUUUAAAGAUUUCUGGAAAUCUAUCAGUACGCUGCUGGAAUCUGAGAAAAGAGAAGUGGUAAUAUGAAAUUUAAUUCAUUUUUAUUAGCUGACUCAGGGUUCGUAGCGGUCUUUGAAAUCCUUGAAAGUCUUUAAAUUGGAAUGCAGGUCUUUGAGGUCUUUGAAAAGUCUUUACAUUGCGUGAAAAAGCGAAGAAAGUCUUUAAAGUCUUUGAAUUCUUCAGUGAGGAAUUGAUUAUACGAUUUCCUAGCUAAUAAAAUAGAUUGAUUGAAUCCAGAUUUUUGCAAAUAUCGACGAAAAGGCGCAUUUUAGGAUGUGAUUUGAUGGGACUAAUUACUGGGUAAAAAUGGUGCUUACUUUCGCAAUUUUUCGCGGCUGAUUCCUCUCAAAGGUCUUUGAAAAGUCUUUGAAAAUAGACAGAAAAGUUGAAUUGAAAGUCGUUGAAUUUUUUUGGUCUUGGAGACUACGAACCCUGUGACUUUAAAACACUCAUUAAUAUUCAUUACUAGGUAGAUUCAUGAGCCAUUAGAUCAUGCGCGUGCGUCAUAUUCCUGAUAAACGUCACCCUACUUGGAAGCUAAUGGAAGCUAUAACGUUUAAUGCCCAAGCUUUACCAUAGAUUGCUA